UGUGAAGGCAUUUCUAUCUUGUGAGAAAAACUACUUCCUUGUGACUCACUUUAUUCUUCAAAUUUCCUUUUAUACCCCCAUAUUUCACCAAUUUACACACACAAUUAGCAAAAAUGAACCAUUUAUUCUCUUCUGUGCUCCUGGCAUCCUGUCUUCUUCUCAUGGGUCAUGGUGAUGCGAUACACAUAGUGAAACAUAGAGCAGAUACACUACAAAUCGCGGGUUCAAGAUUGCCAGACUGUCUACAUGCAUGCGGUUCAUGUUCACCCUGCCAUUUGGUUAGGGUGCGGUUUAUUUGUUCCGUGGGACCCGCCGAGGCCGAGACUUGUCCAAUUGCUUACAAGUGCAUGUGUAGCAACAAAACCUAUCAUGUUCCAUAGUCAACAAGACACACUACUCAUAUGAUACAACAAACCAAUCAAAUAUCUUGUAAUACAUAUGCAAAUUAUAUAAAAGUUUGAAUAUUUUAUGAAUCUUGGAUUUCUAGUGCC
Long non-coding RNA from Lactuca sativa (garden lettuce), 491 nucleotides. RefSeq lists it as uncharacterized. Lineage: Eukaryota; Viridiplantae; Streptophyta; Magnoliopsida; Asterales; Asteraceae. The record is from RefSeq and is a predicted model, not a curated record.